Molecule: ribosomal RNA, 253 nt
Filed under: uncultured bacterium
Lineage: Bacteria
Description: partial 16S ribosomal RNA
Rfam family: Bacterial small subunit ribosomal RNA
Source: RNAcentral
GACGAACCGUCCUAACGUUGUUCGGAAUCACUGGGCUUAAAGGGCGCGUAGGCGGGCGAGCAAGUCCGGGGUGAAAUCUUUCGGCUUAACCGGAAAAGUGCCUUGGAUACUGCUCGUCUCGAGGGAGGUAGGGGCAUGUGGAACUUCCGGUGGAGCGGUGAAAUGCGUUGAUAUCGGAAGGAACGCCGGUGGCGAAAGCGACGUGCUGGAUCUCUUCUGACGCUGAGGCGCGAAAGCCAGGGGAGCAAACGGG